Molecule: ribosomal RNA, 253 nt
Filed under: uncultured bacterium
Lineage: Bacteria
Also listed under: 1 other name
Description: partial 16S ribosomal RNA
Rfam family: Bacterial small subunit ribosomal RNA
Source: RNAcentral
UACGUAGGGUGCGAGCGUUGUCCGGAAUUACUGGGCGUAAAGAGUUCGUAGGCGGUUUGUCGCGUCGUGUGUGAAAUCCCGCAGCUCAACUGCGGGCUUGCAGGCGAUACGGGCAGACUUGAGUACUGCAGGGGAGACUGGAAUUCCUGGUGUAGCGGUGAAAUGCGCAGAUAUCAGGAGGAACACCGGUGGCGAAGGCGGGUCUCUGGGCAGUAACUGACGCUGAGGAACGAAAGCGUGGGUAGCGAACAGG